RNAcentral lists this ribosomal RNA (1778 nucleotides) under Listeria monocytogenes. RNAcentral's name for it is "partial 23S ribosomal RNA". It matches the Rfam family "Bacterial large subunit ribosomal RNA", at positions 1 to 1769 of the family's 2925-position model. Lineage: Bacteria; Bacillati; Bacillota; Bacilli; Caryophanales; Listeriaceae. The record is from RNAcentral.
UUGGUUAAGUUAGAAAGGGCGCACGGUGGAUGCCUUGGCACUAGGAGCCGAAGAAGGACGGGACUAACACCGAUAUGCUUUGGGGAGCUGUACGUAAGCGUUGAUCCAGAGAUUUCCGAAUGGGGGAACCCACUAUCUUUAGUCGGAUAGUAUCCUUACGUGAAUACAUAGCGUGAGGAAGGCAGACCCAGGGAACUGAAACAUCUAAGUACCUGGAGGAAGAGAAAGAAAAAUCGAUUUCCUGAGUAGCGGCGAGCGAAACGGAAAGAGCCCAAACCAAGAAGCUUGCUUCUUGGGGUUGUAGGACACUCUAUACGGAGUUACAAAAGAAAGUUAUAAAUGAAGCGGUCUGGAAAGGCCCGCCAAAGACGGUAACAGCCCGGUAGUUGAAAUGGCUUUCCCUCCAGAGUGGAUCCUGAGUACGGCGGAACACGUGAAAUUCCGUCGGAAUCCGGGAGGACCAUCUCCCAAGGCUAAAUACUCCCUAGUGACCGAUAGUGAACCAGUACCGUGAGGGAAAGGUGAAAAGCACCCCGGAAGGGGAGUGAAACAGUUCCUGAAACCGUGUGCCUACAAGUAGUUAGAGCCCGUUAAUGGGUGAUAGCGUGCCUUUUGUAGAAUGAACCGGCGAGUUACGAUUUGUUGCAAGGUUAAGCGGAAAAAGCGGAGCCGUAGCGAAAGCGAGUCUGAAUAGGGCGCAUAAGUAACAGGUCGUAGACCCGAAACCAGGUGAUCUACCCAUGUCCAGGAUGAAGGUAAGGUAAUACUUACUGGAGGUCCGAACCCACGCACGUUGAAAAGUGCGGGGAUGAGGUGUGGGUAGCGGAGAAAUUCCAAUCGAACUUGGAGAUAGCUGGUUCUCUCCGAAAUAGCUUUAGGGCUAGCCUCGAGGUAAAGAGUCAUGGAGGUAGAGCACUGUUUGGACUAGGGGCCCUUCUCGGGUUACCGAAUUCAGAUAAACUCCGAAUGCCAUGUACUUAUACUCGGGAGUCAGACUGCGAGUGAUAAGAUCCGUAGUCGAAAGGGAAACAGCCCAGACCACCAGUUAAGGUCCCCAAAUAUAUGUUAAGUGGAAAAGGAUGUGGGGUUGCUUAGACAACCAGGAUGUUGGCUUAGAAGCAGCCACCAUUGAAAGAGUGCGUAAUAGCUCACUGGUCGAGUGACCCCGCGCCGAAAAUGUACCGGGGCUAAACAUAUUACCGAAACUGUGGAUGAACCUCUUUAGAGGUUCGUGGUAGGAGAGCGUUCUAAGGGCGGUGAAGUCAGACCGGAAGGACUGGUGGAGCGCUUAGAAGUGAGAAUGCCGGUAUGAGUAGCGAAAGAAGGGUGAGAAUCCCUUCCACCGAAUAUCUAAGGUUUCCUGAGGAAGGCUCGUCCGCUCAGGGUUAGUCGGGACCUAAGCCGAGGCCGAUAGGCGUAGGCGAUGGACAACAGGUAGAGAUUCCUGUACCAGUGCUAAUUGUUUAACCGAUGGGGUGACACAGAAGGAUAGGGAAUCGCACGAAUGGAAAUGUGCGUCCAAGCAGUGAGUGUGAGAAGUAGGCAAAUCCGCUUCUCGCGAAGCAUGAGCUGUGAUGGGGAAGGAAAUUAAGUACGGAAGUUCCUGAUUUCACGCUGUCAAGAAAAGCCUCUAGGAAGAGUAGUACUGCCCGUACCGCAAACCGACACAGGUAGAUGAGGAGAGAAUCCUAAGGUGAGCGAGAGAACUCUCGUUAAGGAACUCGGCAAAAUGACCCCGUAACUUCGGGAGAAGGGGUGCUCUAUUAGGGUGCAAGCCC